This is a long non-coding RNA of Oncorhynchus tshawytscha (Chinook salmon), 642 nucleotides long. Lineage: Eukaryota; Metazoa; Chordata; Actinopteri; Salmoniformes; Salmonidae. The record is from Ensembl.
GUAGUUAGCCCAGAUCUGGAACUAGGCGGUAGGUAGCCCAGAUCUGGGACUAGGCUAGGCGGUAGUUAGCCCAGAUCUGGGACUAGGCUAGGUGGUAGUUAGCCCAGAUCUGGGACUAGGCUAGGCGGUAGUUAGCCCAGAUCUGGAACUAGAUGGUAGUUAGCCCAGAUCUGGGACUAGGCUAGGUGGUAGUUAGCCCAGAUCUGGGACUAGGCUAGGUAGUAGUUAGCCCAGAUCUGGGACUAGGCGGUAGUUAGCCCAGAUCUGGAACUAGGCGGUAGGUAGCCCAGAUCUGGGACUAGGCUAGGUAGUAGUUAGCCCAGAUCUGGGACUAGGCUAGGUAGUAGUUAGCCCAGAUCUGGGACUAGGCUAGGUAGUAGUUAGCCCAGAUCUGGGACUAGGCUAGGUAGUAGUUAGCCCAGAUUUGGGACUAGGCAAGGUAGUAGUUAGCCCAGAUCUGGGACUAGGCUAGGUGGUAGUUAGCCCAGAUCUGGGACUAGGCUAGGUGGUAGUUAGCCCAGAUCUGGGACUAGGUUAGGUGGUAGUUAACUCGCUGCUCCAUCUGUGAUGGUUGAUACGGCUCCCUGGACUUUGUUGACAUCACUGAUGCAAGCCCACUGGCCGUCCGCUGACUCCUUCCAC